Molecule: microRNA precursor, 145 nt
Filed under: Gossypium arboreum
Lineage: Eukaryota; Viridiplantae; Streptophyta; Magnoliopsida; Malvales; Malvaceae
Description: MIR7502 microRNA precursor family
Rfam family: MIR7502 microRNA precursor family
Source: Rfam by way of RNAcentral
UGUUAAAAAAUUUAUCUAUUUAUAUUGCUAAAAAUUACUGUGAUUGACGAAAUAACCAAAUAAUGAUAUAUGACGUGUUACUUAUACCUCAUAUUAAUAUAUAAGAAUCAAUUUUUAAUAAAAAAAAUAGAUAAAUCUUUUAACA